UGAGGGGGGCCUACAGGGGCCAGUUGUGGAUCAUGGGUAUGGGGGGGCCAUGGAGAAGGAGGGGGCCAGAGAGAGGCCAGGUGGCACUGGGGUGACUGGGACGUGGGGGCCCUGCUGGGGUUGUCCUCAAGGGUCCCAGCUGGAGACCUGGGACCGGACAGGUCCCCUGCAGGCAUAGCUUAAUCUGGGAGCGGAUCAAGUUCAACUGGUGCAGAAGACCAAGUAGUUACGAGUAUAUCGAACUGAGACUUUUAAAUUUACUCGUCUCUCUUAUUGUAUUUUUUUUCGCUUGUGCAGGGGAUAGUUGCGAGCAAGUUUUUCGUAACUUCUCCUUAAUGGAGUUGUGGUCCCUACCACAGCCUCUGCUCUAGCCCAGCUGCCCCGCGCCGCCGGGCCAGGAUCUGGCUGGCUUCACCUUGUCGCCAAAAGCCCCUGGUUAGGUGUAGUUCUGCUGGCGAAAUGGCAUCAUUUACCGUAGCUUAUCCCCAAGGUGGGGGAUGUUUUGGAGUCAGCUGUACGAACAAAAGCAUAGCUUUACUUGUGUUAGCAUGUCCCGGAAUAAAAGUGUCUUUAGCAUGAUGUUAGAGUUUUUAACAGUGACUUUCCUGAGAGAGACCUGGCUGAUGGCGUUGCGUCCCCUUCAAAGGGUUUGCUGUGCAGCUGUGCCGGUGGCAUUAUGCAGGCAACUCCCAGGUGAUGCUGUUUUUGCUAGCAAAGACUCUUAAAAUGAGCAAGAACAGUGCUGAGAGUAAGGGUUUUGCUGCUGUGACCGUGAAGGGGAAGUGUUUUAGAUGCUUUUUUUUUCUUUUCCUUUUCACCUCUUUCCACUGUCUUUUUCUAGCUACUAUUGCUAAUAAAUGUUUCUAUUGUAGGUAAGGGCACAGUCCUGCAACAAAAAUGAUGUUUAAACUCCUAAGUCUCUUAAGUACUUGGGGGAGAUGGGGAAUUCUCCACUUUAUUCUAAUCAUGAAAAGGAGGAGAAAGGUGCUGUGGCUGAAUUCUUGCCAGAUUGGUGUCGUGGAACCAAAUCAUGGUGCUCCAGGUUUCCACCAAAAAGUCGAGUCCAGACUGUGGCAUGCUGCGUACGGAGCUGUUUCGCUGCCAUCUGGCACACCAGUCGGGAUUUGAGGUGCUCUUUGGGACAUAUUACUUACUUAAGGUUGCACUGUUGACUGUGGCAGAGCCAGGUACUGGGCAUAGGCUCUCCUAGCAGUUUCCGUGCGGUUUAGGUAGCAAAUUUGAUGUGUGCUCAGCAUCUUGAGUGAAUCCCUGCUUAGGGGCUUCAGCCUACUGCAGGAACUGCUUGCCAACUCCUUUGUUGGAGACAUUUGGGUCUAACGCGAUUCUUGGUGAUCAGAUGUGAAGCACUGUACAAACUGAAAUGGCAUGAUGAGCCCAGUUUAUGAAGGUCGGACUAUACUGACGCAUACAACGUUUUGUAACUAAUGGUUUUGCUGUAAACAGGCCGGAGAUCUCUAUGGCUGCAGUACACCCAAAAAAAAAAAAGUUUUCCUUGUCAGCAAUGAAAGCGUGUGUGGUCAGAGAAGGCAGAUUGCAAAAUCUAACCAGUCCUGGAUGCAAAGUUCAGAUUAGUGAGAAGAAUUGCCAUGAACUUCUGAGUUUUAGUUUGUUACACGACAAGGAAGUAUUUUGUGAUGCUUGAGCCAUAAACGCUACUGUAAGUGGAUCCAUAACCAGCUUUGCUGGAGGUUUAGCAGAUUAUCGUUAGAAAUACGAAAUAUCCAGCUAAUGCUUUCACUAAAGAAUGUACCUUACGCUGCAUGUUUAUCCUCUGCUCUCUAGAUGCCUCUUGGAGGCAGAGUUAUCUGUGACUCCUGUUUUGGUGUGCUUUUUGCUUCCCUCUGCAGCUCAUGUUAUGCUAAAAGUGCUGUUUUGUUCAUGAUGAAAUGAUAGAGGGCUCUUGGGUGAAUUGUUGCUUUGAGCAGCCAAAGCAGACUGGGAGCAGGGGAAAGGAAGCGCCUGUUAAUCCACGAGGGAGGAACAGACGUGGCGAAGGCCAGAAAAAGUCCCAGUGCAGAAAGUCAUCAAACUGCGGCAGCUUUUACUUCUUUUAGAAAAGUCUUUAUGAAAUCACAAGGUGCUUGAGGUAAUUUUUUUUUUUCCCUCCAGUCAAAGAAAAGGCAAAGACUGUGACACUGCCACGCACCCAGAUGUGCCAAAGGUCUUGCAAAGCUGGAUUUAGGGCAGUGCCCUGAUUUAAAAACCCUGUUGUGAACGCUCCUGGUGUUUGCCGUAGCCCUCGCGGGGACAGCAAUGUUGUGUUUCCAGUGUGUGUUGGCAUAGAUCUCCUUAACGUGCACUGCCGGGUUUGUCAGCAGGCCUGCCGGGGAGCUGCCCUCUGCUACUUGCCGCCGUGGCCGGCGAAGGAGGUGUAGGAACUCCGUAGCCGUCCAGCCCCAGGUACAGGGUGGAUUUGAGUGAAUCAGGGCUUUGGCUGUAUGCCCAAGCUUUGGUUGCUAGGAAGUCGGGAACAGAAUAUAAGCUAGAGCAGUCCAAAGGUUGUUUUAGUUUGAAGCAGAACAAGGUUUAUCACUGUACUGAAAGCGAAUUUAAUUUUUCUUGGUCUUAACUGCAGGCCUGUUUUGAAGUCUUUUCUGUUUGUUUGUUUUUGUUUUCUGGCAGUAUGGCAGGAGGUCUUAUGAUGUGGUUAGUCUUGGGGUGAUCUCUAGCCCCACAUCAGUGGGCUCGUUCCUUGUCUUUGCUGCCUGGAGGCAUGCAACGUGUUGGGUUACUGCCAUAUCUCCUCGUGGAGGGGAAGGGCAAGCCUCGUGGGUAUCUGCUUUCAGGGAGAAACAAUACUGCUUUUGUUUCAAAAGCAUGCUAUUAACAUGGAGAGAAGAUACAGUUAUCAGGGGAAUUAGCCCCACCAUGGGAAAGGGUGGCCUUGUGGCCAGCUUGUGCUCUGGUUCAUCCUCUCUUAAGAAGCUCAUAGCUGCAGGAUCUGCUGUGAUCUUGAACCUGCAGACAGGCUGCUAAAAUAGUGCAUGCUGCUGUAGUUGUUAUAUCGGCCAAAGACAAACUUCACGCUCCAACUCAGUGCUACUUCCCCCGCCUCCCCCUCGGGUAGGUGGAGAUCGCAAAGUAAGAGUAGAUGAAACUGCUGUUUAUUUAAAAUCCCGCCUGCACAGAAAGGACAAUGCUGUGGAGGCAGAAAGAAAUGUGUAGUUCACAGCGUAGACUUGAUAAAUGUCACGCUGCUCCUUGCCAACCCUUCUUGGAGGGACAAAGCCAGGCUGAAGGAAAGGUAUUCCUGAAUGAGCCAGCUUCAAAAUAUGGCCCUCCAGACCUUGAAAAAAGAACUGCUCUUAACAUGCCAUCAGCCACCCACUGACUGCAGUUUAUCCUAGAAAUACUUGUCUGCACAGUUAACCUGUCUCCUAGAGUCAUGACCCAGCUUGUCAGCUUAACGCAGCAUCUGCAAAGCCUGCAGCGAAUUAGCUCUGCCUUCACAUGCAGCUGUGAUCCAGUCAUAUACGCGUAAGUGGAAUCUGUGGAAAUUUUCCAGAAUAUUUGUAAUUCUGACAUUGCAGUGGACACAAAUGUCACGUAAGAGGAGGAAAAACCUAGGUCCUAAAUCAGUAAUGCUUGGGGGGUCUAGUAGCUGUUCCUGUUGCACUACAAUAAUUUCUAGGUUUUUAAGCAAUGAUUUUUCCAUUACCUAAUCUAGUAUCUGACCCCUUUGAGGAAGGGAAAGUUAAAAGCGUGACCUUUUUAAAAAGUUACUUUCUCGUGUGGCUCUUUAACCUUCUGUGGUUACUGUUUGGACUGCCCGGAAGACCAGAUGGGGACAGUCUAAGCUGGAACUUCAGUCCUCUCUCAUGCUGAACUUUAAAGGUAGUUCAGCCUUCCCUCUCCCCUUCCAGAAAUGUUUAUCUGAGCCCCGCUGAUGUUUGUUCCUUUACCUGCCUUCCACAAGUGUCUUUGACAUGAGCUCCCGUCAUGCAGCACGUUUAACAUCCCUCCAGCUGUUGCUGCCUUGAUUGCUAUCUGCGUGGUCCAGAUCUAGAUCUGGAGCUUGGAGUUGAGCGACUGAUGCCUGACUGAUGUCCUUAAACUGUCUGUUCCUCCACCCGGCUUGUGGUGGUUGAAAAACACCUCUUGCUCCUUGGUGACUUGGGCUUUCCAGGAACUGCUGCAGCACUUAGCUCUAGGAUGAACAGAGCAUUAGGGCAGGCAGUUGUCUGGUGCAGCUGCGUUGAAGCUGCUGCUCCUUGCACAAGCGGUUGUGAAGCUCUUCAGUUGUGCGUCCAUUGCUAAAACGCCUCCUAACCCAACUAUGGCUUUAUUUAGCAGGCCUUUUUCCAUUGUUAUAUAACCUAAUUGGACUUUAAAAUUGACCUGAAUACAUAGCAAACUUAAAUGUGUGGCCUUUCAGGGGGGAGGGGGAGAUGGCAAUUCAAGGCCAAUAUAACUAUUUUAUGCCUUUUUAUUGUGCUGUUUCCUUUUCUUAUGUGCGUGCCCUCAGAUAGGCUCUGCGUUUGCAUGGCUUCAAGACAAGUAAACAGACUCUCUCGCUCCUAAGCGAGCCUGUUUCCUGAAAGCGCCUGGGAGAUGUGGUGUUUGCAUGGUUUCUUUCUUGGGACUUUCCAAAUUGUUGCGCCGCAAAUUUAAAUUGCGGGGAGGGGGUGGACGACGACCAGCAGGACUUUCUUAAAACUGACUUUGUGAGGGCAUAUAAAGGGCCUUUUGUCUAACCCUUGGGAAUUUAACAUUUGAAACAUAUAUUUCUAAAUGGCUCUGUUAAGUUUGUUGUUAAGGCCACUACCAAACCAGUUUCCAAAAGAAAAAUUUGGAUGUUGUCCUGCGGAGCAACAGAAUUAACUUGUUACUUUGGUGUAACCCUCUCAGAGAGGUUAUAGAUGUAACUCGGCCAAAUCUGAUCGCUCUCUUUGACUUAAUGUUCUUUCCCUUCAGAGCAGCUACUGACUUCUGUUGCCAGUAGCGAACGCGGAGGAAAGCGAGAAGAAAAACGAAAUGUUCAGGGUAACACAAGGCUAUUGGGCAGCUUCUCCUUAGCUCUCUUUGUGCAGUAGCAUUUUAAAGGAAACGUGCUGUUCUUGUCUGGCAACGUGGGAAGCUCUGUUCAGUUCUCAGCAUGCUGAAAUGCAGCUUCUGUGUUGGUUUUUCCAAAUAAAAAUGUGAGUCCCUUCA
Molecule: long non-coding RNA, 5172 nt
Organism: Struthio camelus australis
Lineage: Eukaryota; Metazoa; Chordata; Aves; Struthioniformes; Struthionidae
Source: Ensembl